Long non-coding RNA from Brassica oleracea var. oleracea, 257 nucleotides. RefSeq lists it as uncharacterized. The record is from RefSeq and is a predicted model, not a curated record. The transcript has 2 exons. Lineage: Eukaryota; Viridiplantae; Streptophyta; Magnoliopsida; Brassicales; Brassicaceae.
GGCACUAGGUUUGCGUGUGAGAAGAUAAAAAAAGCAACUCCAGAGUUUGAGAAGAUAAAAAAAAGGUCACCGCAUUAUUUUCCCAAUAUAAAUUUUACUUUUUAACAUAGUCUAGGAAACACUUUUGCUUCUGCAGGAAACCUAUAUCUUAACUCCACACCAGCAACAAAUUUUACUUUGACACUGCCAUCAAAAAGUUCACAAGCAGUGCAGCAGGAGAGGUUUUCACGCAUGUUGAUACCAUGAAAGGGAUAAAA